Molecule: ribosomal RNA, 466 nt
Filed under: uncultured bacterium
Lineage: Bacteria
Description: partial 16S ribosomal RNA
Rfam family: Bacterial small subunit ribosomal RNA
Source: RNAcentral
GACGAACGCUGGCGGCGCGCCUAACACAUGCAAGUCGAACGAGCGAGAGAGAGAUUGCUUUCUUGAGCGAGUGGCGAACGGGUGAGUAACGCGUGAGGAACCUGCCUCAAAGAGGGGGACAACAGUUGGAAACGACUGCUAAUACCGCAUAAGCCCACGGUGCCGCAUGGCACAGAGGGAAAAGGAGCAAUCCGCUUUGAGAUGGCCUCGCGUCCGAUUAGCUAGUUGGUGAGGUAACGGCCCACCAAGGCGACGAUCGGUAGCCGGACUGAGAGGUUGAACGGCCACAUUGGGAUUGAGACACGGCCCAGACUCCUACGGGAGGCAGCAGUGGGGAAUAUUGCACAAUGGGGGAAACCCUGAUGCAGCGACGCCGCGUGGAGGAAGAAGGUCUUCGGAUUGUAAACUCCUGUUGUUGGGGAAGAUAAUGACGGUACCCAACAAGGAAGUGACGGCUAACUACGUG